GCGUUGGUGGUAUAGUGAUGAGCAUAGCUGCCUUCCAAGCAGUUGACCCAGGUUCGAUUCCUGGCCAACGCA
Phaethon lepturus (White-tailed tropicbird) is the source of this 72-nucleotide non-coding RNA. The record is from Rfam. NCBI's taxonomy places the organism in Eukaryota, Metazoa, Chordata, Aves, Phaethontiformes, Phaethontidae.